RNAcentral lists this microRNA (23 nucleotides) under Columba livia (rock pigeon). Its description in RNAcentral is "cli-miR-9637-3p". The record is from miRBase by way of RNAcentral. Lineage: Eukaryota; Metazoa; Chordata; Aves; Columbiformes; Columbidae.
UGAAGUCUUCCUUGUCCUGACAG